Molecule: ribosomal RNA, 614 nt
Organism: Enterocytozoon bieneusi H348
Lineage: Eukaryota; Fungi; Microsporidia; Enterocytozoonidae
Rfam family: Eukaryotic large subunit ribosomal RNA
Source: Rfam
CAAAGUAGCUCGAGGGGAGGAACCACUCCGAGAGUAUAAGGGCAAAGCUUGCUUUAGUUAUUAAUGUAAAUUAAUAAUACUGGAAACAGGGGCCUAGAGAUCCUCUAUGAAACUAAGCAUAGAGGUGACGGAAAAGUUACCACAGGGAUAACUGGCUUGUGGCGGCCGAGCGUCCAUAGCGACGCCGCUUUUUGAUUCUUCGAUGUCGGCUCUUCCGAGCAUGGUGGAGUAUCAGCCACCAAGUGUGUGAUUGUUCACCAACUAACAGGGAACGUGAGCUGGGUUUAGACCGUCGCGAGACAGGUUAGUUUUACCCUACUGCAUCGCGUCCGAGAGUAGGUCGGGGCAGUACGAGAGGAAGUGCCGAUCAGAACCGCUGGUGAUACUUUCGUCUGUUAAGGCGCGAAGUGUAGCUACGUUCUUCUUAUAAUAGCUGAAAGCCUCUAAGCUAGAAUGAGUACUUAAGGACGCAAAGAUAUGAAGACUACAUAUGUAAGGAUGAGGGUUGUACGAUAUAAGCUUCUGCGAGUAUUUCAGACCACUUAUUUCCUUUUUUAGAACAUGCUUGCUCGGAUACAUACAGGAAUUCCGGGGAAAGGAAAAAUUUAUUUUUU